GGUUAAGCGACUAAGCGUACACGGUGGAUGCCCUGGCAGUCAGAGGCGAUGAAGGACGUGCUAAUCUGCGAUAAGCGUCGGUAAGGUGAUAUGAACCGUUAUAACCGGCGAUUUCCGAAUGGGGAAACCCAGUGUGAUUCGUCACACUAUCAUUAACUGAAUCCAUAGGUUAAUGAGGCGAACCGGGGGAACUGAAACAUCUAAGUACCCCGAGGAAAAGAAAUCAACCGAGAUUCCCCCAGUAGCGGCGAGCGAACGGGGAGGAGCCCAGAGCCUGAAUCAGUGUGUGUGUUAGUGGAAGCGUCUGGAAAGGCGCGCGAUACAGGGUGACAGCCCCGUACACAAAAAUGCACAUGCUGUGAGCUCGAUGAGUAGGGCUGGACACGUGGUAUCCUGUCUGAAUAUGGGGGGACCAUCCUCCAAGGCUAAAUACUCCUGACUGACCGAUAGUGAACCAGUACCGUGAGGGAAAGGCGAAAAGAACCCCGGCGAGGGGAGUGAAAAAGAACCUGAAACCGUGUACGUACAAGCAGUGGGAGCCUCUUUAUGGGGUGACUGCGUACCUUUUGUAUAAUGGGUCAGCGACUUAUAUUCUGUAGCAAGGUUAACCGAAUAGGGGAGCCGAAGGGAAACCGAGUCUUAACUGGGCGUUAAGUUGCAGGGUAUAGACCCGAAACCCGGUGAUCUAGCCAUGGGCAGGUUGAAGGUUGGGUAACACUAACUGGAGGACCGAACCGACUAAUGUUGAAAAAUUAGCGGAUGACUUGUGGCUGGGGGUGAAAGGCCAAUCAAACCGGGAGAUAGCUGGUUCUCCCCGAAAGCUAUUUAGGUAGCGCCUCGUGAAUUCAUCUCCGGGGGUAGAGCACUGUUUCGGCAAGGGGGUCAUCCCGACUUACCAACCCGAUGCAAACUGCGAAUACCGGAGAAUGUUAUCACGGGAGACACACGGCGGGUGCUAACGUCCGUCGUGAAGAGGGAAACAACCCAGACCGCCAGCUAAGGUCCCAAAGUCAUGGUUAAGUGGGAAACGAUGUGGGAAGGCCCAGACAGCCAGGAUGUUGGCUUAGAAGCAGCCAUCAUUUAAAGAAAGCGUAAUAGCUCACUGGUCGAGUCGGCCUGCGCGGAAGAUGUAACGGGGCUAAACCAUGCACCGAAGCUGCGGCAGCGACACUAUGUGUUGUUGGGUAGGGGAGCGUUCUGUAAGCCUGUGAAGGUGUGCUGUGAGGCAUGCUGGAGGUAUCAGAAGUGCGAAUGCUGACAUAAGUAACGAUAAAGCGGGUGAAAAGCCCGCUCGCCGGAAGACCAAGGGUUCCUGUCCAACGUUAAUCGGGGCAGGGUGAGUCGCCCCCUAAGGCGAGGCCGAAAGGCGUAGUCGAUGGGAAACAGGUUAAUAUUCCUGUACUUGGUGUUACUGCGAAGGGGGGACGGAGAAGGCUAUGUUGGCCGGGCGACGGUUGUCCCGGUUUAAGCGUGUAGGCUGGUUUUCCAGGCAAAUCCGGAAAAUCAAGGCUGAGGCGUGAUGACGAGGCACUACGGUGCUGAAGCAACAAAUGCCCUGCUUCCAGGAAAAGCCUCUAAGCAUCAGGUAACAUCAAAUCGUACCCCAAACCGACACAGGUGGUCAGGUAGAGAAUACCAAGGCGCUUGAGAGAACUCGGGUGAAGGAACUAGGCAAAAUGGUGCCGUAACUUCGGGAGAAGGCACGCUGAUAUGUAGGUGAAGCGACUUGCUCGUGGAGCUGAAAUCAGUCGAAGAUACCAGCUGGCUGCAACUGUUUAUUAAAAACACAGCACUGUGCAAACACGAAAGUGGACGUAUACGGUGUGACGCCUGCCCGGUGCCGGAAGGUUAAUUGAUGGGGUCAGCGCAAGCGAAGCUCUUGAUCGAAGCCCCGGUAAACGGCGGCCGUAACUAUAACGGUCCUAAGGUAGCGAAAUUCCUUGUCGGGUAAGUUCCGACCUGCACGAAUGGCGUAAUGAUGGCCAGGCUGUCUCCACCCGAGACUCAGUGAAAUUGAACUCGCUGUGAAGAUGCAGUGUACCCGCGGCAAGACGGAAAGACCCCGUGAACCUUUACUAUAGCUUGACACUGAACAUUGAGCCUUGAUGUGUAGGAUAGGUGGGAGGCUUAGAAGUGUGGACGCCAGUCUGCAUGGAGCCGACCUUGAAAUACCACCCUUUAAUGUUUGAUGUUCUAACGUUGACCCGUGAUCCGGGUUGCGGACAGUGUCUGGUGGGUAGUUUGACUGGGGCGGUCUCCUCCUAAAGAGUAACGGAGGAGCACGAAGGUUGGCUAAUCCUGGUCGGACAUCAGGAGGUUAGUGCAAUGGCAUAAGCCAGCUUGACUGCGAGCGUGACGGCGCGAGCAGGUGCGAAAGCAGGUCAUAGUGAUCCGGUGGUUCUGAAUGGAAGGGCCAUCGCUCAACGGAUAAAAGGUACUCCGGGGAUAACAGGCUGAUACCGCCCAAGAGUUCAUAUCGACGGCGGUGUUUGGCACCUCGAUGUCGGCUCAUCACAUCCUGGGGCUGAAGUAGGUCCCAAGGGUAUGGCUGUUCGCCAUUUAAAGUGGUACGCGAGCUGGGUUUAGAACGUCGUGAGACAGUUCGGUCCCUAUCUGCCGUGGGCGCUGGAGAACUGAGGGGGGCUGCUCCUAGUACGAGAGGACCGGAGUGGACGCAUCACUGGUGUUCGGGUUGUCAUGCCAAUGGCACUGCCCGGUAGCUAAAUGCGGAAGAGAUAAGUGCUGAAAGCAUCUAAGCACGAAACUUGCCCCGAGAUGAGUUCUCCCUGACUCCUUGAGAGUCCUGAAGGAACGUUGAAGACGACGACGUUGAUAGGCUGGGUGUGUAAGCGCAGCGAUGCGUUGAGCUAACCGGUACUAAUGAACCGUGAGGCUUAACCUU
Molecule: ribosomal RNA, 2902 nt
Filed under: Escherichia coli
Lineage: Bacteria; Pseudomonadati; Pseudomonadota; Gammaproteobacteria; Enterobacterales; Enterobacteriaceae
Description: 23S ribosomal RNA
Rfam family: Bacterial large subunit ribosomal RNA
Source: RNAcentral